CUUCUUAAGGAGUGGAGGAAAGUGGAUGUUUUCAAGAUAACGCAGCUAACAUUCAAAGAGGUUAAGUGAAUUGUCCAAAGUCACACAGCAAGCACUGGAGGUUCUUCAUUUGUGAACAAAUGACAUUUUAUGCUGAAGAUAGGCUUGCACCUGAGAGUCAACAACAGGGCCUUGUUAGAUCUGGGCUGUGCAAUGUUGUUAAGCUGUCCCAUGAUCCAGCAGAUUAGAGCAUUAGGGACACCCUGACACACUGAAGACUUGACAUCACUUCAGAUGAAAAUGCUAAGAUUGGUAGGUUUCUCCCUACCACAGGGAAAUUAGAAAUUAUGAAAUACAUUGCAAAGACACAAGCCACGUAACAUGGAAUGCUGGCUUGGAAAAAAAGGACCUGAGCUUAUGUUUAAUCCCACCCUUACCUCUGGGAACUGGGGCACAUUUCUGGGUUUUGAAUUUCUCUUCUGUAAAAAGAAGACCAAUGGCCAGUUCAGCCAUGGCCAGUUCAUCACUAAUAUCCCUUGAAACUCCGUGAAUAUAUUCUAUGAAUACAAGCCUUAGAGGCAGCCUCUUGCUGCAAAAAUGCAGCUACAAGUCUUUGAUUCUUCUGUGGGUGAGAUGAACACAG
This 622-nucleotide long non-coding RNA is filed under the name Homo sapiens (human). RNAcentral's name for it is "HSALNT0146934". Lineage: Eukaryota; Metazoa; Chordata; Mammalia; Primates; Hominidae. The record is from RNAcentral.